RNAcentral lists this ribosomal RNA (758 nucleotides) under uncultured bacterium. RNAcentral's name for it is "bacterial SSU rRNA". It matches the Rfam family "Bacterial small subunit ribosomal RNA", at positions 9 to 745 of the family's 1533-position model. The record is from RNAcentral.
GAGUUUGAUCCUGGCUCAGAACGAACGCUGGCGGCGUGCCUAACACAUGCAAGUCCAACGUGAAAGGGGAGCAAUCCCCCGGUAGGGUGGCAAACGGGUGAGUAAUACAUGGGUGAUCUACCUUAGGGAUGGGGAUAUCCUUCCGAAAGGAGGGGCAAUACCGAAUAUUGUCCGGAGCCGUGAAGGGUUCCGGGGAAAGGGAGGCCUCUGAUACAAGCUUUCGCCUUAAGAUGAGCCCAUGUCCCAUCAGCUAGUUGGUAGGGUAAAGGCCUACCAAGGCUACGACGGGUCGCUGGUCUGAGAGGACGACCAGCCACACUGGCACUGAGAUACGGGCCAGACUCCUACGGGAGGCAGCAGUGAGGAAUAUUGCGCAAUGGGGGAAACCCUGACGCAGCAACGCCGCGUGUGGGAAGAAGGCCUUCGGGUCGUAAACCACUUUUGCACGGGACGAAAAAGGGAUAUCGAACAAAUAUCCCCGAUGACGGUACCGUGAGAAUAAGCCACGGCUAACUCUGUGCCAGCAGCCGCGGUAAGACAGAGGUGGCAAGCGUUGUUCGGAAUUACUGGGCGUAAAGAGUCUGUAGGUGGUUUGUCAAGUCUUUGGUGAAAGGCCGUAGCUUAACUAUGGGAAUGCCAAAGAGACUGGCAGGCUGGAGGCUGGGAGAGGGAAGCGGAAUUUCUGGUGUAGCGGUGAAAUGCGUAGAUAUCAGAAGGAAGGCCGGUGGCGAAGGCGGCUUCCUGGAACAGUCCUGACA